GGGUUGUGAGGUUAAGCGACUAAGCGUACACGGUGGAUGCCCUGGCAGUCAGAGGCGAUGAAGGGCGUACUAAUCUGCGAUAAGCGCCGGUAAGGUGAUAUGAACCGUUAUAACCGGCGAUACCCGAAUGGGGAAACCCAGUGUGAUUCGUCACACUAUCAUUAACUGAAUCCAUAGGUUAAUGAGGCGAACCGGGGGAACUGAAACAUCUAAGUACCCCGAGGAAAAGAAAUCAACCGAGAUUCCCCCAGUAGCGGCGAGCGAACGGGGAGGAGCCCAGAGCCUGAAUCAGCAUGUGUGUUAGUGGAAGCGUCUGGAAAGGCGCGCGAUACAGGGUGACAGCCCCGUACACAAAAGCGCAUGUGCUGUGAGCUCGAUGAGUAGGGCGGGACACGUGGUAUCCUGUCUGAAUAUGGGGGGACCAUCCUCCAAGGCUAAAUACUCCUGACUGACCGAUAGUGAACCAGUACCGUGAGGGAAAGGCGAAAAGAACCCCGGCGAGGGGAGUGAAAAAGAACCUGAAACCGUGUACGUACAAGCAGUGGGAGCACAGGUUUACCUGUGUGACUGCGUACCUUUUGUAUAAUGGGUCAGCGACUUAUAUUCUGUAGCAAGGUUAACCGAAUAGGGGAGCCGGAGGGAAACCGAGUCUUAAUUGGGCGUUAAGUUGCAGGGUAUAGACCCGAAACCCGGUGAUCUAGCCAUGGGCAGGUUGAAGGUUGGGUAACACUAACUGGAGGACCGAACCGACUAAUGUUGAAAAAUUAGCGGAUGACCUGUGGCUGGGGGUGAAAGGCCAAUCAAACCGGGAGAUAGCUGGUUCUCCCCGAAAGCUAUUUAGGUAGCGCCUCGUGAAUUCAUCUCCGGGGGUAGAGCACUGUUUCGGCUAGGGGGCCAUCCCGGCUUACCAACCCGAUGCAAACUGCGAAUACCGGAGAAUGUUAUCACGGGAGACACACGGCGGGUGCUAACGUCCGUCGUGAAGAGGGAAACAACCCAGACCGCCAGCUAAGGUCCCAAAGUCAUGGUUAAGUGGGAAACGAUGUGGGAAGGCCCAGACAGCCAGGAUGUUGGCUUAGAAGCAGCCAUCAUUUAAAGAAAGCGUAAUAGCUCACUGGUCGAGUCGGCCUGCGCGGAAGAUGUAACGGGGCUAAACCAUGCACCGAAGCUGCGGCAGCGACACUGUGUGUUGUUGGGUAGGGGAGCGUUCUGUAAGCCUGUGAAGGUGU
This 1229-nucleotide ribosomal RNA is filed under the name Salmonella enterica subsp. enterica serovar Enteritidis. Its description in RNAcentral is "partial 23S ribosomal RNA". It matches the Rfam family "Bacterial large subunit ribosomal RNA", at positions 1 to 1259 of the family's 2925-position model. The record is from RNAcentral. Lineage: Bacteria; Pseudomonadati; Pseudomonadota; Gammaproteobacteria; Enterobacterales; Enterobacteriaceae.